This 402-nucleotide ribosomal RNA is filed under the name uncultured bacterium. Its description in RNAcentral is "partial 16S ribosomal RNA". It matches the Rfam family "Bacterial small subunit ribosomal RNA", at positions 355 to 774 of the family's 1533-position model. The record is from RNAcentral.
UGGGGAAUAUUGGACAAUGGGCGAAAGCCUGAUCCAGCCAUGCCGCAUGAGUGAAGAAGGCCUUUGGGUUGUAAAGCUCUUUUAGUGAGGAAGAUAAUGACGGUACUCACAGAAGAAGUCCUGGCUAACUCCGUGCCAGCAGCCGCGGUAAUACGGAGAGGGCUAGCGUUAUUCGGCAUUAUUGGGCGUAAAGGGCGCGUAGGCUGGUUAAUAAGUUAAAAGUGAAAUCCCGAGGCUUAACCUUGGAAUUGCUUUUAAAACUAUUAAUCUAGAGAUUGAAAGAGGAUAGAGGAAUUCCUGAUGUAGAGGUAAAAUUCGUAAAUAUUAGGAGGAACACCGGUGGCGAAGGCGUCUAUCUGGUUCAAAUCUGACGCUGAAGCGCGAAGGCGUGGGGAGCAAACA